GAUGAACGCUGGCUACAGGCUUAACACAUGCAAGUCGAGGGGAAACGCCGGGGAAGCUUGCUUCCCCGGGCGUCGACCGGCGCACGGGUGAGUAACGCGUAUCCAACCUGCCUCUGACUGAGGGAUAACCCGUCGAAAGUCGGCCUAAUACCUCAUGGCAUCGUCUGCGGGCAUCCAACGACGAUUAAAGAUUUCAUCGGUCAGGGAUGGGGAUGCGUCUGAUUAGCUUGUUGGCGGGGUAACGGCCCACCAAGGCUACGAUCAGUAGGGGUUCUGAGAGGAAGGUCCCCCACAUUGGAACUGAGACACGGUCCAAACUCCUACGGGAGGCAGCAGUGAGGAAUAUUGGGCAAUGGGCGGGAGCCUGAACCAGCCAAGUAGCGUGCAGGAUGACGGCCCUAUGGGUUGUAAACUGCUUUUAGGCGGGGAUAAAGUGAGGGACGUGUCCUUCAUUGCAGGUACCGCAUGAAUAAGGACCGGCUAAUUCCGUG
RNAcentral lists this ribosomal RNA (491 nucleotides) under uncultured bacterium. Its description in RNAcentral is "partial 16S ribosomal RNA". It matches the Rfam family "Bacterial small subunit ribosomal RNA", at positions 28 to 507 of the family's 1533-position model. The record is from RNAcentral.